Molecule: long non-coding RNA, 1733 nt
Filed under: Salmo salar (Atlantic salmon)
Lineage: Eukaryota; Metazoa; Chordata; Actinopteri; Salmoniformes; Salmonidae
Description: lncRNA (ENSSSAG00000094024.1)
Source: RNAcentral
AUUUCAUAGUUUUGAUGUCUUCACUAUUAUUAUACAAUGUAGAAAAUAGUAAAAAUAAAAACUCCUGGAAUGAGUAGGUGUACCAAAACCUUUGACUGGUACUAUAUAUAUAUAUAUAUACUAUUCUCAAUGUAUCAUCAGUAUUGUCUCUCAGCCAUGGUGGUGCUGAUAUGCUAGUUAUAGCGAACAACUAGAAAACUAUGCAUUCACAUUAACAACGCUCUCAAUGACCAAAGUGGACAUUCUUAUACAGCUUAAAAGGAAGUGAGGGUAAACCUGUUGUUUUCUCUAUGAGCAUUCCAAUAAUUUUUUUGAUGUGAAGUGAAAAUGAAACUCGUAUAGGCUCAUUAACGCUUUUGUAGACACCUCGUGUACAGAUCUCUAACCCCCUUGCAAUUGUUAUACUGUAGUUGUUUGUCAUCAUUGAUUUAUCUGUCUUCAAAGGUGAUUUUUAAUCGUGAUUGUUACACAGGCACUUUAACUGAUUCUACUAUGUCCAUAAUAACGAAAACACCUUCAGGCAUUGCUACUGCAUUUUGCACAAGGCUGAGCUGAAGGACUUUGCAUUUACUCAUUACGCUAAUCUUUGCCUCAAAAUCGCACACAGCACAAUCCUAAACCCAGACACCAGGUGUGAGCAUGGAAAACCAUACCACCCUUUUUCCUGUGGGCGGCUUUCAAAAUCCUGCCAAGUUUACCUCAGGUUUCCUUCUUCCCCGUCCAGCAGACCUCCCCACCAGUGUGUUCCUUUGCCACAGUAGAAAGUCAUCAUCUUCAGGUUGUCUUAGCUGGCCACUAACUGCAAUUACACCAACCGUGCUGUAGCCAGGCAAAACUGUAGGUUUGUAGCUCUUGGAGCUCUCCAACACCACUGUGAAGGUUUGCAGAAGCUUUAUUUUUAAAACAUGCUUCGACUCGAUGUAAUACGCACAGACUUCAUGGUUAUUACCUCUGCCUAUGAAAACCAUUGCUGACCUAUGCCACGGAGGUGAUUUGGUAAUGAAAAUAUUAUGGUUGGAGAGAAUAGACACGGCACUUGAAGAGAACAGUGAGGCCUUUCUUUAGCCCUGGGCGGUUGUGCUAAAGGCUCCUGUAGGCUGAUGUGGAGUCAGACAGGUCUGCAGGUUUGGGGAACUACAGCUGGUGUUCUAUAGAGAAAUGCCAGGAACUGAGCUCAAUGUUAAUGUUUGGCAUGGAUUACCCCCAAAAUGUAAAGUAAGCACAUUUUCCAGAACAGAGCAUUUGUUCAGAACAUUUAUUCAGGAAUAUUUCAUACAAGGCCAUAUCUUUUUCAUAGAAGUAACAAUAGCCGUCAAUCAAUACAUACACUGUACUGGAUGUAAAAUAAUUUGUUUAUGACAUUAUCAGAUUAUGUUGUCGUCUUUAAAUGUUGGAAGUCUUUUUUUACAACUUUAAAAUGUUUUUAUAUACUAGUGUUAACAGUUGAUGCUAAUUGAGAAGUUUUCUGAACAAUUUGCUUGUAAAAUUGUUCUCUGCCUCGUGUGUAGAAAUCAAUGCUGUCAUGCAUAAACCAAGAAAAUCAUGAGUACAACAUGCCAAUGGACCAUACUGUCUAUAAUCUCCCAUCAUUGUAAAAUACAUUAAAACCAUUGUUUGAUAUAAUCUUUGUUUAAAUGUAAUAUGCAAGAAUCACUUCACACUCCAUUAUAGUGGAGGACGUUUAUACAGCUUGUAUUGCAUGAGCUCUGAAUUAAAAAUAAAAUGUUUAUACA